CUACGGGUGGCUGCAGUGGGGAAUAUUGGACAAUGGGGGCAACCCUGAUCCAGCCAUGCCGCGUGUGUGAAGAAGGCCUUAGGGUUGUAAAGCACUUUCAGAUGUGAGGAAAGGUGUGUGCUUAAUACGUACAUGCUGUGACGUUAGCAUCAGAAGAAGGACCGGCUAACUCCGUGCCAGCAGCCGCGGUAAUACGGAGGGUCCGAGCGUGUAAUCGGAAUUACUGGGCGUAAAGCGCGCGUAGGUGGUUUCGUCAGUCAGAUGUGAAAGCCCCGGGCUCAACCUGGGAAUUGCACCUGAUACUGCGGGACUAGAGUACGAUAGAGGGGAGUGGAAUUUCCGGUGUAGCGGUGAAAUGCGUAGAGAUCGGAAGGAACACCAGUGGCGAAGGCGACUCCCUGGAUUGAUACUGACACUGAGGUGCGAAAGCGUGGGGAGCAAACAGGAUUAGAUACCCCCGUAGUC
Molecule: ribosomal RNA, 465 nt
Filed under: uncultured bacterium
Lineage: Bacteria
Description: partial 16S ribosomal RNA
Rfam family: Bacterial small subunit ribosomal RNA
Source: RNAcentral